UACGGAGGGUGCAAGCGUUAUCCGGAUUCACUGGGUUUAAAGGGUGCGUAGGCGGGCAGGUAAGUCAGAGGUGAAAUCUCCGGGCUUAACCCGGAAACUGCCUUUGAUACUAUCUGUCUUGAAUAUGGUGGAGGUAAGCGGAAUGUGUCAUGUAGCGGUGAAAUGCUUAGAUAUGACAUAGAACACCCAUUGCGAAGGCAGCUUACUACGCCUAUAUUGACGCUGAGGCACGAAAGCGUGGGGAUCAAACAGG
Molecule: ribosomal RNA, 253 nt
Filed under: uncultured bacterium
Lineage: Bacteria
Description: partial 16S ribosomal RNA
Rfam family: Bacterial small subunit ribosomal RNA
Source: RNAcentral